CAAAUGACAUGGAAAUGACACAAACACGUGGACACGCGGAUCGGUUUCAUUUCAGCAGCUGGGUGAAAAGUCAAGCCAGGACUGACUGUGGUCAUUCUACAGGCAUUCUUGGGCAUUAUAUCAUCUGGAUGAUGAUGCUUGACUUGAGGCAUGUCAGUAAGCUGAGCGGCUCUGCUAAAGGCGCAGUCAGCAAUUUCAGGAACAAGUGUGAGAGUUAAUGAGUUUGCCCAAGGACACUUCGGUAGAGUGUAGCAGGCACUUAUUUUUGCACCUUUAAAAUAUGUUUGCUAAUGGUGGUGGUGGUGUGGUGAAUGGGGGGCAUCAGCAAAGUAAUUAAAGGGCAACCGGCACAGUGAUGGUAAAACUGAUGACUCACAGGACCUCUGUUUGACUGCAUGAGAGAGUAGGAUUAGGUGCCCUCUGUCAGAGGCCAGACGAGAAUCCUGAGCUUGGAGCCAGUGAGUCACGAACCCUUUCACAGCAAACAGUGGUGGUGGGGGGGGGGGAGAUCACGUGCGCCUGGGAGACGCCCACUCAAAAAGCACAAACGGCCUGGUCUCCUCAUCUCCCUCAGUUGACAAUGCGGACAGACAGGAUUUGAAACAACACAUUUCCCCCCCUUCUCUCUCCAGAGUAAACAGGUCACAUGCGAAAAGGCUCCGCGAGAUGUUUACAGAGCCGAGGACGCUGCCCAGACAGUUUUAACAACCGGGUGCAAAUCUGUCUGAGAUAUAAUGCAGAAGGACUUCUUGGACUGUCAUCUUUGCUUUCUAUAAUGAGCUUGUACCAUGGUAAUUAGAUUGAAAAGGCAAUUUGUGGUCAAGUGAUCAUAGAGUAGCAUAUGUGGCUACUUUUGCUUUAUGUGCUGCCGUCACAAUGAAGAGCAGGCAGGAUGAGGGCACCAGCAAACACUAGCUUUGCUCUCUACGGAUGAGCCUGUAAUCACAUCCUGCUGUGAAGAAUGCAUUCUAAAACCAGUCAAGGUGACACACCUACUGGCACGGUUAGACAUUCAUUUUGAAUUUUAAUUGUCCUGUAAAUCACAGUGGUCUCUCACACAUCCCACAAACAGCCUGCUGCUGUUCUGCUCCCCAGGCUCUGAUCCCCCGGUGACCCCAGACUUUGUGACGACCGAGAGCUUUCCAGCAAACUCUCAUUUCCCUUAUUUGUCUUAGAGGCUGUCACUGUGAAAUAUGUAUCACAUUCACCUCAAAGCACAGGAAACAGACAUGUCUACAUACAUUUGAUGUUCAAAGAGCUUUUAUUGGGCUCAUACAUCCAGCAUUCUGAACCACGCACGCAUGGCAUCAUACAUUUAGAAACCUUAGCCACAGAUUGUCGUGAAUGUUUCAGUAAAUCUUUUGUGUGAUCGCCAGGAAUGUUUAAGUGUUUAACAACAAUCCAAUUCUACGGAGCCGUUCUCCAAUUUUCACAAGCUGUCAUUCGCAUAAAGAACAACAGCAGCAAUUUGCAGUCUGUUCACAAAAGGGAACUCUUUUUAUCUGUGCGUUUUCCUGUCAGGAUCCAAGAUGAGUCACACGACACAAACUGGCACUGCGAUUUUCAAUUUGUCAGAGAGGCAGGCUGAAAACAUAUCCCACAGAGACUGGAUUUCUCCCGCUCUCAUUCAUAAAAAAUAAAAGACCAAUCAGAGACUCACACCCACUUUAUUAUAGGGCAUACGCUGAACAUCUGUCCCUGUCUAACCCUGUCUUCUCAAAAACAUAAAAAAUAAAGACCCAGCACGUGUGCGUGGGGAGCAUCAACCGCACCUCACCCUAUGGACUAAAGGCAGCUCUGAACUCAAGUACAUGUGUGCACGAUUUACGGUAUUGUAAAAUCUGUUUCUUAUUUUCAGGCAGCGUCACAUGUCUAACGCAAUGACUUGCCAUCAAAAGCACUAGCCAGUAACCUAAACUGACCCGUGUUACACUUGCAUAAAGUGAGGGAAUGUGAGAGACAGUGGCCUUACCUGUAAAUAUGCUGCAAGUGGAGGCAGGCAUGCAUGUGAGAGUGUUUGGGUGCCAUUUGCACGGGAGCGUAUUUGCAUUUGUGUCUGUUAUAUCAACAUCUGUCGCGUGAACUGUGUAUAUGACUCAGCUGGGUGUACCCUGGCUUUGCUCCAUAUGCUUUCCCGAACUCAAAACCUGGCCUAUGGUGACACACACAUGCACGGUUUUAUUUAAAUUGGGACGGCAAACAGACUUCCCACACCAUUGUCCACAUUAUGUCUGCUCGCCACUAAUAGCAGGAGUGCGACCCAGGCACAGGUUUUGGUUUGGAGCUCAGAUGGAAGAGAAAACCGACAGGAAUGUCCAUAACUGUGUUAACGACAACUAAAGCUGCUGCAGGGAACACAAAUGUAAACACAAAGGCACACCAGACAUUAAAGACGUCCUCUGGCUGGACAUAAUUGACAUCGGUACAAAAUAUUGGGUCCUUGCAGUGAUUCAUAGACUUGUAAUAACAGGAUUACAUAACUUUUUUUCCUGUAAUGUUUGCAAAGCCUUGGACUACCUCCCUCAAGUCUCAGCCACCAAUUGAGCAUGUCAGCUUUGAGGAAUAAAACCUAAUUUUCCCAUCAAUCUAGCUGAAGCUGAACUUUGUGACUUGGAUCCCGUUCUCUGCUUAUGUGUUUUACAAUGAUCUUCACAGAUGUUCCACGUGACAAUAACAGAAUGCCAUGUCUGGAACCUGUUUAGCUUUUUAAUCUUGGUUAGAAAA
Long non-coding RNA from Oreochromis niloticus (Nile tilapia), 2724 nucleotides. RefSeq lists it as uncharacterized. NCBI's taxonomy places the organism in Eukaryota, Metazoa, Chordata, Actinopteri, Cichliformes, Cichlidae. The transcript is spliced from 2 exons. The record is from RefSeq and is a predicted model, not a curated record.